Molecule: long non-coding RNA, 388 nt
Organism: Sinocyclocheilus anshuiensis
Lineage: Eukaryota; Metazoa; Chordata; Actinopteri; Cypriniformes; Cyprinidae
Exons: 3
Source: RefSeq, a predicted model, not a curated record
UCAAUCAAUAGUGUUUUUCAAGGAAGGAUCACAACAGAAGCCCUUGCUAACUCUGUGUCUGGCAGAAGUUUUACAAAAACAUACAGAACUUAUUACAUAAGAGAUGGACAAUCAGUUCUGCCUUUUGUCUUCAAUGACAUCAUGGGCUUAGAAUCCGGAGAUUCACAGGGAGCUCAUCCAGAAGACAUCGCCAAAUCCCUCGAGGGCCUCCUUAAGGAAGGACACAAUUUCAAUCCAGCCGUUCCUGCUAACAAAGAGGACUACAGAAGUAAUACAAGCCCUGAGGAUCAGACAUACUGCCUGGUCUACGUCAUAGCAGCUGACAAGGUAUCAAUGAUGAAUAAAGAUGUCUUUGAAAAGAUUAAAGAUAUUAGACAGAAGGCCAGCA